This 30-nucleotide non-coding RNA is filed under the name Prorocentrum micans. Lineage: Eukaryota; Dinophyceae; Prorocentrales; Prorocentraceae. The record is from RNAcentral.
UUUUUUUUUUUUUUUUUUUUUUUUUUUUCC